GGUCUAUUAGUGUAGUGGUUAGCACGUGGGAUUUUGACUCGACACCUUGAUCUUCCCGAGUCGCAGGUUCGAGCCCUGCAUAGACCU
Molecule: transfer RNA, 87 nt
Filed under: Coniochaeta sp. 2T2.1
Lineage: Eukaryota; Fungi; Ascomycota; Sordariomycetes; Coniochaetales; Coniochaetaceae
Rfam family: tRNA
About the family: Transfer RNA (tRNA) molecules are approximately 80 nucleotides in length. Their secondary structure includes four short double-helical elements and three loops (D, anti-codon, and T loops).
Source: Rfam by way of RNAcentral